This 468-nucleotide ribosomal RNA is filed under the name uncultured bacterium. Its description in RNAcentral is "partial 16S ribosomal RNA". It matches the Rfam family "Bacterial small subunit ribosomal RNA", at positions 28 to 507 of the family's 1533-position model. The record is from RNAcentral.
GACGAACGCUGGCGGCGUGCUUAACACAUGCAAGUCGAACGGAAAGGCCCUGCUUUUGUGGGGUGCUCGAGUGGCGAACGGGUGAGUAACACGUGAGUAACCUGCCCUUGACUUUGGGAUAACUUCAGGAAACUGGGGCUAAUACCGGAUAGGAGCUCCUGCCGCAUGGUGGGGGUUGGUAAGAUUCGGCGGUUGGGGGUGGACUCGCGGCUUAUCAGGUUGUUGGUGGGGUAGUGGCUUACCAAGGCCUUGACGGGUAGCCGGCCUGAGAGGAUGACCGGCCACAUUGGGCCUGAGAUGCGGCCCGGACUCCUACGGGAGGCAGCGGUGGGGAAUAUUGCACAAUGGGCGGGAGCCUGAUGCAGCAACGCCGCGUGCGGGAUGACGGCCUUCGGGUUGUAAACCGCUUUCGCCUGUGACGAAGCGUGAGUGACGGUAAUGGGUAAAGAAGCACCGGCUAACUACGUG